This is a long non-coding RNA of Gymnodraco acuticeps, 1248 nucleotides long. RefSeq lists it as uncharacterized. The transcript is spliced from 3 exons. The record is from RefSeq and is a predicted model, not a curated record. NCBI's taxonomy places the organism in Eukaryota, Metazoa, Chordata, Actinopteri, Perciformes, Bathydraconidae.
CUAGGGUCUGAGACGUACUUCCGCCUUAGCCGUUAUACUGCUCGGACGCUUCCGGGUUGCUUCUGGUCUGCGUAGCUGAGCGUCCACAAAUGUUUUACUGUUUAAAUCUGUGGUUUAAAUAUGAGUCGACGGAAGAUUUUCAAAACGGAGCAUUUGCAAAGACAAGUAAAGAACUACUCCGAGCACUGCUGUGUCCCACUUUGUACGGCGUCAGCUAAAUUCAACGGCGUCCUAAGUUUCCAUGGCUUUCCGACCGAACUCGAGCUGCGAAGACAGUGGCUGGUUAAAAUACGACGCGAUAACUUUACAAUCUCCUCUCACUCCAAUGUCUGCAGUCGUCACUUCGCUACGGAUCAACUAAUAGAGCCAAAAACCCUUGAUGGCCGUAGGAGGCUUGUGAAAGGUGCUGUCCCAACUCUGUUUGAGUGGAAUCACUUCACUGCUCAAACACCGCGGGCUAGUGUUUGGGAGAGAAGGGAGCGGCCCACUGAACCAGUCUCUCGGGAGGAGCAGGAAGAGCACAUCGAUGUCCGUGACCAUGAUUACUGCUCAACCCCUGAACCAGCUUCACUGGACAUGUCCUCUCAAGCUACAGAAGACAACUCCAAAACAUUUGAGGAUCUGCAGAAGCAACUGCAGGAGUUAAGAGUCCAGCGAGAGUUUUGCUUACAGCUGGCUCCGACGACAACAUCCGAUUCUAUACCAGAUUCCCGAGCUAUAACCACCUGAUGGCCUUCUGGUUUUUGAUUGAGCCUUCCAUUUAUAAAUGGUUCGUGUUACAAGAGCGAUAUCAGCUGCCAAGAGGAAUGAAGAAGUGGUUACACACGCACGUCCAUCAACGAGACAGCUGCUUCAGCCAAUUGACAAGUUCUUCCUUUUUCUCUGCUUCCUGUCGGUGGGUUUGAAAGAGAGGGACCUUGCAAACCGCUUCAACGUACACCAGUCCACUGUGAGCCGCAUCAUUGCAACAUGGACGAGUUUUCUUACAACUUUAUUGGGGUCACAGUGCAUCUGGCUUACACCUGCAGAAGUUCAAGCCCACCUCCCAGAGGCAUUCAAAGAUUUCCCAGACACACAGGUGAUCCUGGAUUGCACAGAGCUGAGGUGUCAAACACCAUCCUCACUCCUCCUCCAAAGUGAAAUGUAUUCUACAUACAAAUCUCACUGCACCAUGAAAGCCCUGGUUGGCAUAGCCCCACAUGGCGCAGUGACAUUUGUUUCCAGUCUGUGGUUCUGUCAGCGACAAGG